Zea mays is the source of this 99-nucleotide non-coding RNA. The record is from Rfam. Lineage: Eukaryota; Viridiplantae; Streptophyta; Magnoliopsida; Poales; Poaceae.
UAUAAGCUAUGAGGACUCCUAUUAGGACGGUAUCUAAAGGGUUGGCUUAUUCCAACCCUUGUGAUUAUACCAAAACUGAAAAUGGUUUCUGAGCCAAUC